This 175-nucleotide ribosomal RNA is filed under the name uncultured bacterium. RNAcentral describes it as "partial 16S ribosomal RNA". It matches the Rfam family "Bacterial small subunit ribosomal RNA", at positions 335 to 524 of the family's 1533-position model. The record is from RNAcentral.
ACUCCUACGGGAGGCAGCAGUUGGGAAUAUUGGACAAUGGAGGGAACUCUGAUCCAGUGACGCCGCGUGAAGGAAGAAGGUCUUCGGAUUGUAAACUUAUUUUAUCAGGGAAGAAACAAAUGACAGUACCUGAAGAAGAAGCACCGGCUAACUACGUGCCAGCAGCCGCGGUAAU